RNAcentral lists this ribosomal RNA (507 nucleotides) under uncultured bacterium. Its description in RNAcentral is "bacterial SSU rRNA". It matches the Rfam family "Bacterial small subunit ribosomal RNA", at positions 985 to 1501 of the family's 1533-position model. The record is from RNAcentral.
ACUGCAGCUGAACGAUUCAGAGAUGAUGAGGCCCUUCGGGGCAGCUGUGGAGGUGCUGCAUGGUUGUCGUCAGCUCGUGCCGUGAGGUGUCGGCUUAAGUGCCAUAACGAGCGCAACCCCUUUUCUUAGUUGCCAUCAGGUGAUGCUGGGCACUCUGGGAAUACUGCCACCGUAAGGUGUGAGGAAGGUGGGGAUGACGUCAAAUCAGCACGGCCCUUACGUCCGGGGCUACACACGUGUUACAAUGGCGCAUACAGAAUGUUGGUUUCAUGCAAAUGAGAUCUAAUCUUCAAAGUGCGUCUCAGUUCGGACUGGGGUCUGCAACCCGACCCCACGAAGCUGGAUUCGCUAGUAAUCGCGCAUCAGCCAUGGCGCGGUGAAUACGUUCCCGGGCCUUGUACACACCGCCCGUCAAGCCAUGAAAGCCGGGGGCGCCUAAAGUCCGUGACCGCAAGGGUCGGCCUAGGGUGAAACUGGUGAUUGGGGCUAAGUCGUAACAAGGUAACC